UACGAAGGGGGCUAGCGUUGCUCGGAAUCACUGGGCGUAAAGCGCACGUAGGCGGAUUGUUAAGUCAGGGGUGAAAUCCUGGAGCUCAACUCCAGAACUGCCUUUGAUACUGGCGAUCUCGAGUCCGGGAGAGGUGAGUGGAACUGCGAGUGUAGAGGUGAAAUACGUAGAGAUUGGGAAGAACACCAGUGGCGAAGGCGGCUAUCUGGACGGUUUCUGACGCUAAGACGCGAAAGCGUGGGGAGCAAACAGG
Molecule: ribosomal RNA, 253 nt
Filed under: uncultured bacterium
Lineage: Bacteria
Description: partial 16S ribosomal RNA
Rfam family: Bacterial small subunit ribosomal RNA
Source: RNAcentral